Long non-coding RNA from Myotis davidii, 473 nucleotides. RefSeq lists it as uncharacterized. The transcript is spliced from 3 exons. NCBI's taxonomy places the organism in Eukaryota, Metazoa, Chordata, Mammalia, Chiroptera, Vespertilionidae. The record is from RefSeq and is a predicted model, not a curated record.
CAUGGCUUUCCUUUCUUUCUUACAAUUUUCCUACAGCUAUGACAUUGGAGAUGCCAGCCAACGUGCUCUUCAGCUGGUCAGGAAACACAAGCCUUUUCUGAAGGGCUGGCUGAGUGUUGUGUAACCUCCCGCUGGCAUCUGUGGCGCAGCCGAAUGGGAGGGCACAGAGGCAUCGACUGAGCCAACCAGCAAGAGGACAGGAUUCUGUCAACCCUUUCUUGUUACUCGGUUCUCUCCCAUCACCCACACUUCAGGUAAUGCCUACAAGUGAUACAACAUUCAAGAGUACAAAUGGGACUUCUCCAUAUGAUGUCCACAUGCUUGUAACCCUGCAAGGCCUGUGCUCCAGUCCCCAACUAACAAGGGUGACGCUUGGAUUACACUGGAAAAACCCUGUCUUCCACCUAUGACAGUGAUGGCGAACCUUUUGAGCUCGGCGUGUCAGCAUUUUGAAAAACCCUAACUUAACUCUG